This 234-nucleotide ribosomal RNA is filed under the name uncultured bacterium. RNAcentral describes it as "partial 16S ribosomal RNA". It matches the Rfam family "Bacterial small subunit ribosomal RNA", at positions 99 to 334 of the family's 1533-position model. The record is from RNAcentral.
CGGACGGGUGAGGAACACAUCGGAAUCUACCCUGUCGUGGGGGACAACGUAGGGAAACUUACGCUAAUACCGCAUACGACCUUCGGGUGAAAGCCGGGGACUCGCAAGAGCCCGGCGCGACUGGAUGAGCCGAUGUCCGAUUAGCUAGUUGGCGGGGUAAUGGCCCACCAAGGCGACGAUCGGUAGCUGGUCUGAGAGGACGACCAGCCACACUGGAACUGAGACACGGUCCAG